Molecule: ribosomal RNA, 498 nt
Filed under: uncultured bacterium
Lineage: Bacteria
Description: partial 16S ribosomal RNA
Rfam family: Bacterial small subunit ribosomal RNA
Source: RNAcentral
GACGAACGCUGGCGGCGUGCCUAAUACAUGCAAGUCGAACGAGAGCGACCGGUGCUUGCACCGGUCAAUCUAGUGGCGAACGGGUGAGUAACACGUGGGUAACCUGCUCAUCAGAGGGGGAUAACAUCCGGAAACGGAUGCUAAAACCGCAUAGGUCUUCGAGCCGCAUGGCUUGAAGAGGAAAAGAGGCGCAAGCUUCUGCUGAUGGAUGGACCCGCGGUGCAUUAGCUAGUUGGUGAGGUAACGGCUCACCAAGGCCGUGAUGCAUAGCCGACCUGAGAGGGUGAUCGGCCACAUUGGGACUGAGACACGGCCCAAACUCCUACGGGAGGCAGCAGUAGGGAAUCUUCCGCAAUGGACGCAAGUCUGACGGAGCAACGCCGCGUGAGUGAAGAAGGUUUUCGGAUCGUAAAACUCUGUUGUUAGAGAAGAACAAAUGCUAGAGUAACUGUUAGCGCCUUGACGGUAUCUAACCAGAAAGCCACGGCUAACUACGUG